UACGUAGGUGGCAAGCGUUGUCCGGAUUUACUGGGCGUAAAGAGCGCGCAGGCGGUCGUUCAAGUCGCGUGUGAAAGCCCCCGGCUCAACUGGGGAGGGUCACGCGAUACUGAUCGACUCGAAGGCAGGAGAGGGAAGUGGAAUUCCCGGUGUAGCGGUGGAAUGCGUAGAGAUCGGGAAGAACAUCGGUGGCGAAGGCGGCCUGCUGGGCUCUUGCUGACACUGAUGCGCGACAGCGUGGGGAGCAAACAGG
Molecule: ribosomal RNA, 253 nt
Filed under: uncultured bacterium
Lineage: Bacteria
Description: partial 16S ribosomal RNA
Rfam family: Bacterial small subunit ribosomal RNA
Source: RNAcentral